This 460-nucleotide ribosomal RNA is filed under the name uncultured bacterium. RNAcentral describes it as "partial 16S ribosomal RNA". It matches the Rfam family "Bacterial small subunit ribosomal RNA", at positions 28 to 507 of the family's 1533-position model. The record is from RNAcentral.
GACGAACGCUGGCGGCGUGCUUAACACAUGCAAGUCGAGCGGUAAGGCCUCUUAGGGGGUACACGAGCGGCGAACGGGUGAGUAACACGUGGGUGACCUGCCCUCAGCUCUGGGAUAAGCCUGGGAAACUGGGUCUAAUACCGGAGAUGACCUUUCCUCGCAUGGGGUUUGGUGGAAAGUUCUUUCGGCUGGGGAUGGGCCCGCGGCCUAUCAGCUUGUUGGUGGGGUGAUGGCCUACCAAGGCGACGACGGGUAGCCGGGCUGAGAGGGCGACCGGCCAGACUGGGACUGAGACACGGCCCAGACUCCUACGGGAGGAAGCAGUGGGGAAUAUUGCGCAAUGGGCGGAAGCCUGACGCAGCGGCGCCGCGUGGGGGAUGACGGCCUUCGGGUUGUAAACCUCUUUCGACCCGGACGAAUUUGGACGGUAGGGGUAGAAGAAGCACCGGCCAACUACGUG